RNAcentral lists this long non-coding RNA (1061 nucleotides) under Manacus vitellinus (golden-collared manakin). RNAcentral describes it as "lncRNA (ENSMVIG00005008742.1)". The record is from RNAcentral. Lineage: Eukaryota; Metazoa; Chordata; Aves; Passeriformes; Pipridae.
UUUUCUUCUGCUGAAAAGCUAAUUUAUUCUGAGCUCUUGGUUUUUUUUGUUCAUGUGCCUAAUGUAUGUUUUGAGGAGAAGUUAACUGCAAGUUGUUAAAGCGCCUUUUGAUUCUGCCAUCAAACCAAAUAGCCACAGGCAGCCAGCACUGGUGCAAGUAGCCUAGCUGGAGUCAUUGUUGAACGUGAAUGCAGCUGUCCCAUAGCACUUGUACAGGAGUCUCUGUUGAAAGUGCAACAACUUUCUACAGAUUCGAGGGCUGGAAUCUGACCCCUGGUUGUACUGACACUUGUGUGCUUUGUAGAGCUGUGAACUGAUAUUCCUUUGGUCUUGCUCCGAGUGGGCUGUGUCCACGCUGGUGUAUGGCCUUGUUCCGAGCUGUGGAGGAUGCGAAGGAAUCUGGAGAGACUGCCGCUUCUUUCUGCUCUCAACCCUCUCUCCCUGCUCCCCUCCAUUUUCAAGCUUUCUAAAGGGCAAUAUUUCAACACUAAUGUUGUUUCUCAGACCAUCAGCCCAGGCCCUCGGCGCUCGGCCACGGUCCCAGAGCGGGUGCGGGACCUGCACCAGGGCCUUUGUGCUGCAGGGUGUGCAGUGGUGGCUCUGGACCCAGGGGAGCGUGUGGCUGCCAGAUGGGAAUAUGUGGAUGGGCUGCUCCUGCCCCCUGCCCAGCGAGGAUGAGGAUGGAGCAAGGCAGGAGGAGGAUGGGCUGCUGCUCCCAGCUGCUGAAGGGGAAACCUCUGUCCCUGGUGUGUCAUCUGUAGGUGACCCCCUGGGCUAGGAGAGCUGCUCCAGCUGCCGUGGCUGCAGGCACCAUGCCUGUGGCUGCUGGGCUGCCCAGUCUCAGGUCAAAGGGGGUGCAAAAUGCUUUAGUGGUCCAGCGUGUCCUCUCAGCUGAAGAACAGGGAAGAAUGGAAGACAAUGGGGUUGGAGCUCUCCGAGGGCAUUUCCACUGCAGACUGUGAUCCUCCUGCUCCAUCAAGCCCUCGGAUUGGUGCAGCAGGGGCUGGGUCAAGCUUCACAAACUCACCUUUCAACACAGUUUUUGAUUCGCAAGGUUUCUU